RNAcentral lists this ribosomal RNA (491 nucleotides) under uncultured bacterium. RNAcentral describes it as "bacterial SSU rRNA". It matches the Rfam family "Bacterial small subunit ribosomal RNA", at positions 28 to 526 of the family's 1533-position model. The record is from RNAcentral.
GACGAACGCUGGCGGCGUGCUUAACACAUGCAAGUCGAACGGAAAGUGCCCAGCUUGCUGGGUGACUCGAGUGGCGAACGGGUGAGUAACACGUGGGUGAUCUGCCCUGCACUUUGGGAUAAGCCUGGGAAACUGGGUCUAAUACCGAAUAUUCCUCAUGGGGCGCAUGUUUUGUGGGGGAAAGCUUUUGGGGUGUGGGAUGGGCCCGCGGCCUAUCAGCUUGUUGGUGGGGUGAUGGCCUACCAAGGCGACGACGGGUAGCCGGCCUGAGAGGGUGUCCGGCCACACUGGGACUGAGAUACGGCCCAGACUCCUACGGGAGGCAGCAGUGGGGAAUAUUGCACAAUGGGCGCAAGCCUGAUGCAGCGACGCCGCGUGGGGGAUGACGGCCUUCGGGUUGUAAACCUCUUUCAACGCCGACGAAGGGUGACUGACGGUAGGCGUAGAAGAAGCACCGGCCAACUACGUGCCAGCAGCCGCCGCAGUAAAAC